Molecule: ribosomal RNA, 247 nt
Filed under: uncultured bacterium
Lineage: Bacteria
Description: partial 16S ribosomal RNA
Rfam family: Bacterial small subunit ribosomal RNA
Source: RNAcentral
AUACGUAUGGUGCAAGCGUUAUCCGGAUUUACUGGGUGUAAAGGGAGUGUAGGUGGUCUGACAAGUCAGAGGUGAAAGCCCGGGGCUCAACCCCGGUACUGCAUUGGAAACUGUCGUGCUAGAGUGUCGGAGGGGUAAGCGGAAUUCCUAGUGUAGCGGUGAAAUGCGUAGAUAUUAGGAGGAACACCAGUGGCGAAGGCGGCUUACUGGACGAUAACUGACGCUGAGGCUCGAAAGCGUGGGGAGC